GGGAGUAAUCAAAUUACAUGAAAACAUAAAGGUUACAAAAUCAAGGAAAACGGAGCACAAGAUUAACGUGGAUUGGCAAAAUUCCACCAAAUCAAAGAAUAAGGAUCAGACAGGACAAAGUGAUAUUAACAAAACAAACCUAACACCUACUAUAAUCUAACAAUCCUAUCAACUCACAGAUUCAACCGCAGCAUGUGUAGUACUUAAAGCAUAUAAACGAG
RNAcentral lists this unclassified non-coding RNA (221 nucleotides) under Hevea brasiliensis (rubber tree). Lineage: Eukaryota; Viridiplantae; Streptophyta; Magnoliopsida; Malpighiales; Euphorbiaceae. The record is from RNAcentral.